UACGGAGGGUGCAAGCGUUAUCCGGAUUCACUGGGUUUAAAGGGUGCGUAGGUGGGUUUGUAAGUCAGUGGUGAAAUCUCUAAGCUUAACUUGGAAACUGCCAUUGAUACUAUAGAUCUUGAAUAUCCUGGAGGUGAACGGAAUAUGUCAUGUAGCGGUGAAAUGCUUAGAUAUGACAUAGAACACCAAUUGCGAAGGCAGUUCACUACGGGAUCAUUGACACUGAGGCACGAAAGCGUGGGGAUCAAACAGG
This 253-nucleotide ribosomal RNA is filed under the name uncultured bacterium. RNAcentral describes it as "partial 16S ribosomal RNA". It matches the Rfam family "Bacterial small subunit ribosomal RNA", at positions 524 to 776 of the family's 1533-position model. The record is from RNAcentral.